AGUGGCGGACGGGUGAGUAACGCGUGAGAAUCUGCCUUGGGGUCGGGGACAACCACUGGAAACGGUGGCUAAUACCGGAUAAGCCGAUUGGUGAAAGAUUUAUUGCCCGAAGAGGAGCUCGCGUCUGAUUAGCUAGUUGGUGAGGUAAGAGCUCACCAAGGCAGCGAUCAGUAGCUGUCUGAGAGGACGAUCAGCCACACUGGGACUGAGACACGGCCCAGACUCCUACGGGAGGCAGCAGUGGGGAAUUUUCCGCAAUGGGCGAAAGCCUGACGGAGCAAGACCGCGUGAGGGAGGAAGGCUCUUGGGUUGUAAACCUCUUUUCUCAGGGAAGAAGCUCUGACGGUACCUGAGGAAUCAGCCUCGGCUAACUCCGUGCCAGCAGCCGCGGUAAUACGGAGGAGGCAAGCGUUAUCCGGAAUUAUUGGGCGUAAAGCGUCCGCAGGUGGCGAUUCAAGUCUGCUGUCAAAGCACGGGGCUUAACUCCGUAAAGGCAGUGGAAACUGAAUAGCUAGAGUGCCGUAGGGGUAGAGGGAAUUCCCGGUGUAGCGGUGAAAUGCGUAGAGAUCGGGAAGAACAUCGGUGGCGAAAGCGCUCUACUGGACGGCAACUGACACUCAGGGACGAAAGCUAGGGGAGCGAAUGGGAUUAGAUACCCC
This 659-nucleotide ribosomal RNA is filed under the name uncultured bacterium. RNAcentral's name for it is "bacterial SSU rRNA". It matches the Rfam family "Bacterial small subunit ribosomal RNA", at positions 94 to 788 of the family's 1533-position model. The record is from RNAcentral.